This 951-nucleotide long non-coding RNA is filed under the name Crocodylus porosus (Australian saltwater crocodile). Its description in RNAcentral is "lncRNA (ENSCPRG00005005241.1)". Lineage: Eukaryota; Metazoa; Chordata; Crocodylia; Crocodylidae. The record is from RNAcentral.
AAGGAAAUCAUGUUUUGUAGCUCAAAGAGGAAGUAAUGUGACAUUGCCACUGUCUUGACUUUGUUCUCCUUUCCUUCCUCUUUAGAUUCUUUAGAGCUAGAUUCCCAUAAGAUAACAGUCCUGUGGUACAUCCAUAACCCAGAGAUAUGAAAACAAUGAAACAAGGGGAGAAAAGGAAAUCUGUGGAAAGACGAAGACUGCAUAAAUGGGAGAAUGGUGCUGCUUAUUAAGCAGAUUCUCUGCUGUAGGUGAGAACGCAGCUUCAGAUCUUCCUUGUCUUGUGGACUACAGUUUUCCCAUCACAAUUUACUGACGUUCGGUAAGCAGUGAAGUUACAGGUUUAAAAUCUGGCACUUCGCCAUCUCUGUGUCCUUUUUAAUUUGUUUGUCCUGCAGCUGGGAGGGUUGUGGUAGCCUAGAGCUCCCUCUUUAGGUCAUUUGAAAGGUGACAAGUUUUUAACAUCCUGAUGUUUUCAUGCAGUUAGGAGCCCAAUCCUGCACAAAUGUCCAGCACCAUAAAAAUCGGACUUUUAAUUGCUAAAAGAUUUACUGCAUACCAGAUAACUGAAUAGCUGACCUGAGCCUGGAUGUGUUAAAACCAGUUGCAGCCUUACCAGUAACUUCAGUGAGAAUCGUGCCCAUCAUGCAUGCAGCACCGUCUGCCAUUCCAGUAUUCUUCACAACGCCGUUUGUGCUGGUUUUAAAGUGAUCAUGAAACAUCAAUUCCAAAAGCAGUAUUAUCUUACCAAAACUCAACAGAAUGCCAGUUCCUAUUCGAAUUAAUGGCUUUUGUGGUGCAGAAAACACAGGAUAGCUAUAUACAGACCAGAUAGCAAAUACCCCCAAAAAGACAAUUCUCUGUGGAACAGGCAAGCAAAGUUGCCAAAAGAUCCAGUAGGCGUUCUUAUCAAAUGCUUUUAUUGAGAAAUAAACAUGAGAUUUUUUUUUUCCA